This 761-nucleotide small RNA is filed under the name Pan troglodytes (chimpanzee). Its description in RNAcentral is "processed transcript". Lineage: Eukaryota; Metazoa; Chordata; Mammalia; Primates; Hominidae. The record is from RNAcentral.
CCUACAGCAGACUGGAACCAGCAGAUUAGGAAGGCCCAAGGGACUGCUUCGGGAAGGCCAUUGACAGCAGGAAAAAGUGACAGGUCGCAGCCAGACUACAAGGGAGGCAAGAGACAAACUAUAAAAAGCAGGAACAAAAACACUCAAAAGACACAGCAGUCUGGGGGAUUUACUAAAAGACAAAGAGCCCUACUCAGGUUCUAACAUUCCCAUGGACCAGCCCUGCUGUCGUGGUCUCUAUGACUUUGAGCCAGAAAACCGAGGAGAAUUAGGAUUUAAAGAAGGGGACAUCAUUACAUUAACCAAUCAAAUAGAUGAAAACUGGUAUGAAGGAAUGAUACACGGAGAAUCGGGAUUCUUCCCCAUUAAUUAUGUUGAAGUGAUCGUGCCUUUACCUCAGUAAAUGUGUAACACAAACUCUGGACAUACUUUCAUAACUGAAAUGAAUUCACACCAGUGUGCUCUCAGUGUGGUGUUCUGUGACAUCCUUUGCUCUCUGACCAACUUAAUGACUUUUGUAUGUGUGUUCUCUUUAUAAUGUAUUUUAUAUCACUUUAAUUUGUAUAAAUGAUUUUCUUGUCCUUGCUACAUGAAAAUAUUGUUUUCUUUUUUGCUUCCUGUCCUAAAAGUCAUUGGUUAAAUGUAUUUGCUUCCUGUUGCUAAAAAUAAGUCUCACCCAUUGCAGUUAUGUCAACGAAUGGCCUAUAUUCCUCAGCUGCAAUGAAAUGGUAACAUUUGAAACUAAGAAAUGCUAAAUAUUU